AGCCUGCGGUUUAAUCGGACUCAACGCCGGGAAACUCACCAGAUAAGACAGCUGAAUGAUAGUCGGGCUGAAGACUCUACUUGACUAGCUGAGAGGAGGUGCAUGGCCGUCGUCAGUUCGUACUGUGAAGCAUCCUGUUAAGUCAGGCAACGAGCGAGACCCACGCCAACAGUUGCCAGCUCGUCCUUCGGGAUGGUGGGGACACUGUUGGGACCGCCUCUGCUAAAGAGGAGGAAGGAAUGGGCAACGGUAGGUCAGCAUGCCCCGAAUUACCUGGGCUACACGCGGGCUACAAUGGGUGGGACAAUGGGUAUCGACACCGAAAGGUGAAGGCAAUCUCCUAAACCCAUCCGUAGUUCGGAUUGUGGGCUGCAACUCGCCCACAUGAAGCUGGAAUCUGUAGUAAUCGUGUCUCAAAAUGGCACGGUGAAUAUGUCCCUGCUCCUU
Molecule: ribosomal RNA, 447 nt
Filed under: uncultured Methanomicrobiales archaeon
Lineage: Archaea; Methanobacteriati; Methanobacteriota; Methanomicrobia; Methanomicrobiales
Description: bacterial SSU rRNA
Rfam family: Archaeal small subunit ribosomal RNA
Source: RNAcentral